Molecule: ribosomal RNA, 456 nt
Filed under: Campylobacter gracilis
Lineage: Bacteria; Pseudomonadati; Campylobacterota; Epsilonproteobacteria; Campylobacterales; Campylobacteraceae
Description: bacterial SSU rRNA
Rfam family: Bacterial small subunit ribosomal RNA
Source: RNAcentral
AGUGAACGCUGGCGGCGUGCCUAAUACAUGCAAGUCGAACGGAAUUUAAAAGAGCUUGCUCUUUUGAAUUUAGUGGCGCACGGGUGAGUAAUAUAUAGCUAAUCUGCCCCUUGCUGGAGGACAACAGUUAGAAAUGACUGCUAAUACUCCAUACUCCUUUUUACCAUAAGAUAAAUCGGGAAAGAAUUUCGGCAAGGGAUGAGACUAUAUCGUAUCAGCUAGUCGGUGGGGUAACGGCCUACCGAGGCUAUGACGCGUAACUGGUCCGAGAGGAUGAUCAGUCACAUUGGAACUGAGACACGGUCCAAACUCCUACGGGAGGCAGCAGUAGGGAAUAUUGCGCAAUGGGGGAAACCCUGACGCAGCAACGCCGCGUGGAGGAUGACACUUUUCGGAGCGUAAACUCCUUUUGUUAGGGAAGAAUAAUGACGGUACCUAACGAAUAAGCACCGGUAA